GCAGCCGCGGUAAUACGUAGGGGGCAAGCGUUGUCCGGAAUGAUUGGGCGUAAAGGGCGCGUAGGCGGCCUGUUAAGUCUGAAGUGAAACUCCCGCUUUUAAGGUGGGAACUGCUUUGGAUACUGAUGGGCUUGAGUGCAGGAGAGGUAAGCGGAAUUCCCGGUGUAGCGGUGAAAUGCGUAGAGAUCGGGAGGAACACCAGUGGCGAAGGCGGCUUACUGGACUGUAACUGACGCUGAGGCGCGAAAGUGUGGGGAGCAAACAGGAUUAGAUACCCC
Molecule: ribosomal RNA, 278 nt
Filed under: uncultured Christensenellaceae bacterium
Lineage: Bacteria; Bacillati; Bacillota; Clostridia; Christensenellales; Christensenellaceae
Description: partial 16S ribosomal RNA
Rfam family: Bacterial small subunit ribosomal RNA
Source: RNAcentral